UAAAUUACUAUUGCAACAUCAUAUCAGCUGGUAUCCUUAGGGUAAAAUUAACCUGUCUCACAACGGUCUAAACCCAGCUCACGUUCCCUAUUAG
This is a long non-coding RNA of Etheostoma cragini (Arkansas darter), 94 nucleotides long. RefSeq lists it as uncharacterized. Lineage: Eukaryota; Metazoa; Chordata; Actinopteri; Perciformes; Percidae. The transcript is spliced from 3 exons. The record is from RefSeq and is a predicted model, not a curated record.